UACGUAAGGUCCGAGCGUUGUCCGGAAUCAUUGGGCGUAAAGGGUACGUAGGCGGAUAAGCAAGUUAGAAGUGAAAUCCUAUAGCUCAACUAUAGUAAGCUUUUAAAACUGCUCAUCUUGAGGUAUGGAAGGGAAAGUGGAAUUCCUAGUGUAGCGGUGAAAUGCGCAGAUAUUAGGAGGAAUACCGGUGGCGAAGGCGACUUUCUGGCCAUAAACUGACGCUGAGGUACGAAAGCGUGGGUAGC
Molecule: ribosomal RNA, 245 nt
Filed under: uncultured Eubacteriales bacterium
Lineage: Bacteria; Bacillati; Bacillota; Clostridia; Eubacteriales
Also listed under: 1 other name
Description: uncultured Clostridiales bacterium partial 16S ribosomal RNA
Rfam family: Bacterial small subunit ribosomal RNA
Source: RNAcentral